RNAcentral lists this long non-coding RNA (815 nucleotides) under Gallus gallus (chicken). RNAcentral's name for it is "lncRNA (ENSGALG00010000541.1)". The record is from RNAcentral. Lineage: Eukaryota; Metazoa; Chordata; Aves; Galliformes; Phasianidae.
CUUCACUCUCCUCAGUGAGUUCCUUCUGCUCCCAUAGUUCUCCUCCUGUGGCACUCACUGCUCUCCUGUUCCCCCUUGGCUAAGGACUGCAGGCUCACAGUCUCCGCCACGCAUCCGCUGUGCAGUUUUUCCAGAGCAGGUCUAUGGCCAAGCUGCUCCUUUUGGGCUGAUUGUGUGCUUUUCUAUGCAGACAGGCAGGCAGGAUUUCUUGCAGCUGUCGUACGUGCUGGGUCUCAUGCUCCGUCCUGCACCUGUGCCUUAUCUCGUGUGCACUCUCCACCUCCCCCUGGUCAGUACAUCCUGGCCCUGCUGUGCUCUGCUCAGCAUCUGUCUGCUGAGCAACGACACAGCUGUCACACUGACCCUACCUUGUGCUAUCCCUGCAGAUGUUUGAUGAUUUCCUCUGCCACUGUCCCAGCCAUAACAGGUCGGGUGAUUUCCAGCAGCACACAGCUGGCACACCGAGCCACUCUGACCACGUACGGCAGCAGCCCGCCCCAUGGCUUCCUUGGGGCAGCCGUGGGGCUGUACCACCCUGAGGAGGCGAUGACUUUUCCCCACACACAGCUGGUUCUCUGGCCACACGGGUCCCUGACAGGACUCCCAUCACCAUCCCAGGACCCCCGUAGCCCACUGAUGAGGAACCCCGCAGCAAUCCACAUCUCAGGAUGGGGCUCCAGCUGUGCCCCAAUGCCUGCAUUAAAGAGAGGAGAAUGAAUGAGUGUAACGGGGCACCUUUCCUCCUGACAUUACCAACUGCCUGCGUGUUGGCUGUGCCACAUGAGCGGCAUUUUGUCCUCGAGCUGUGAGUGCAG